Molecule: ribosomal RNA, 119 nt
Filed under: Pteropus alecto (black flying fox)
Lineage: Eukaryota; Metazoa; Chordata; Mammalia; Chiroptera; Pteropodidae
Source: RNAcentral
GUCUACAGCCAUGCUACCCUGAACAAGCCCAAUCCUGUUUGAUCUUGGAAGCUAAGCUAGGUUGGGCCUGGUUAGUACUUGGCUGGGAGACCACCUAGGAAGACCAGGUGCUGUAUUAU